This 451-nucleotide long non-coding RNA is filed under the name Androctonus crassicauda. Lineage: Eukaryota; Metazoa; Arthropoda; Arachnida; Scorpiones; Buthidae. The record is from RNAcentral.
UACGUAAGAUAUUUUUCAUCUUGAUAUUUUCUUACUUCUAUAUAACGUUUUUAAUGAUAACAUAAACCUUCUUUCUUAUAAUGUAUUUCGAAAUUACAAGUUUCGUGUUAUUUUCCUUAAGACAAGAAUACCGAACAAUGAAUAUAAAAAAAAAAAAAAAUUGUUGCAAUAAUUACUCUCUAUCGACAUUUUAUAAAUGCUUGGUAAUUAAAAUGCUACAUUAGACUAUUGUGUAUUAUAAAUGAUUAAUGACUGUGCACAGCCUAACCCAGACGUUGAAAAUUUGGUUGUCUUACUAAUGGCUCCGUUCUGGGUUAAUGUAUUAUUCAAGUUGGAAUAUUCACUGCCAGAAUAUUACUGGUCGACAAAGAUCUUUUGUCUUCCUCCUACAUUCUUCAUUUGGAUUCAUUUAUUUUCAAUCUUAUUGUUUGUGCAGAAAUUCUCUUAUCCG